GACGAACGCUGGCGGCGUGCUUAACACAUGCAAGUCGAACGGAAAGGCCCUGCUUUUGUGGGGUGCUCGAGUGGCGAACGGGUGAGUAACACGUGAGUAACCUGCCCUUGACUUUGGGAUAACUUCCGGAAACUGGGGCUAAUACCGGAUAGGAGCUCCUGCUGCAUGGUGGGGGUUGGAAAGUUUCGGCGGUUGGGGAUGGACUCGCGGCUUAUCAGCUUGUUGGUGGGGUAGUGGCUUACCAAGGCUUUGACGGGUAGCCGGCCUGAGAGGGUGACCGGCCACAUUGGGACUGAGAUACGGCCCAGACUCCUACGGGAGGCAGCAGUGGGGAAUAUUGCACAAUGGGCGGAAGCCUGAUGCAGCAACGCCGCGUGCGGGAUAACGACCUUCGGGUUGUAAACCGCUUUCGCCUGUGACGAAGCGUGAGUGACGGUAAUGGGUAAAGAAGCACCGGCUAACUACGUG
This 468-nucleotide ribosomal RNA is filed under the name uncultured bacterium. RNAcentral's name for it is "partial 16S ribosomal RNA". It matches the Rfam family "Bacterial small subunit ribosomal RNA", at positions 28 to 507 of the family's 1533-position model. The record is from RNAcentral.